RNAcentral lists this ribosomal RNA (124 nucleotides) under uncultured bacterium. RNAcentral describes it as "partial 16S ribosomal RNA". It matches the Rfam family "Bacterial small subunit ribosomal RNA", at positions 337 to 478 of the family's 1533-position model. The record is from RNAcentral.
UCCUACGGGAGGCAGCAGUGGGGAAUAUUGGACAAUGGGCGAAAGCCUGAUCCAGCAAUGCCGCGUGAGUGAUGAAGGCCUUAGGGUUGUAAAGCUCUUUUACCAGGGAUGAUAAUGACAGUAC